RNAcentral lists this ribosomal RNA (468 nucleotides) under Triticum aestivum (bread wheat). Its description in RNAcentral is "partial small subunit ribosomal RNA". The record is from RNAcentral. Lineage: Eukaryota; Viridiplantae; Streptophyta; Magnoliopsida; Poales; Poaceae.
AUGGCACCCACGGCGGCCGAAUCACGCCUGACCCUGGUGGCAAUCUUCCUUCCGACCUUGGCGUCGACCCUUCUGCUGAAGCCAGUGGCGGCGAACCAGGACGUGGACGCGCUCUCGGCCCUGAGGAGAGGCCUACAGGAGUACCCCAAUGGCGAGUUGAAGAACUGGGACGCGAACCUGGUGGACGCCUGCACCUGGUCCCACAUCACCUGCGACCGCGAUAACAAUCGCGUCACCCGCAUAGAUCUUAACAAAAUGAACCUGUCCGGACCUCUGGCGCCGGAGCUUGGGAAACUGGACCGGCUACAAUAUUUGGAAAUCGAUCACAACCGUUUGACAGGGCCAAUCCCAAGGGAGCUGGCUGGGCUGUCCAACCUGAAACAUGCGGAUUUCUCGAACAACAACCUCUGCGGCCCGAUUCCGACGACUGGAGCGUUUCAACGCAUACCUCGGAGUAGGAAGUGCUAG